CUACGGGACGCACCAGUGAGGAAUAUUGCACAAUGGGGGGAACCCUGAUGCAGCAACGCCGCGUGGAGGAUGACGCAUUUCGGUGUGUAAACUCCUUUUAUAUGUCAAGAAAAUGACGGUAGCAUAUGAAUAAGCACCGGCUAACUCCGUGCCAGCAGCCGCGGUAAUACGGAGGGUGCAAGCGUUACUCGGAAUCAACUGGGCGUAAAGGACGCGUAGGCGGGUUGGAAAGUCAGGUGUGAAAUCCUACAGCUUAACUGUAGAACUGCACUUGAAACUUCUAAGCUAGAGUAUGGGAGGGGGAGAUGGAAUUAGUGGUGUAGGGGUAAUAUCCGUAGAUAUCACUAGGAAUACCUAAAGCGAAGGCGAUCUCCUGGAACAUUACUGACGCUAAGGCGUGAAAGCGUGGGGAGCAAACAGGAUUAGAUACCCCAGUAGUC
This 440-nucleotide ribosomal RNA is filed under the name uncultured bacterium. RNAcentral describes it as "partial 16S ribosomal RNA". It matches the Rfam family "Bacterial small subunit ribosomal RNA", at positions 339 to 795 of the family's 1533-position model. The record is from RNAcentral.